This 459-nucleotide ribosomal RNA is filed under the name uncultured bacterium. Its description in RNAcentral is "partial 16S ribosomal RNA". It matches the Rfam family "Bacterial small subunit ribosomal RNA", at positions 338 to 795 of the family's 1533-position model. The record is from RNAcentral.
CCUACGGGAGGCAGCAGUGAGGAAUAUUGGUCAAUGGCCGGAAGGCUGAACCAGCCAAGCCGCGUGAAGGACGAAGGUGCCAAGCAUUGUAAACUUCUUUUGUCAAGGGACAAAAUCAGGCACGAGAGCCUGAAUGAGGGUACUUGAAGAAAAAGCAUCGGCUAACUCCGUGCCAGCAGCCGCGGUAAUACGGAGGAUGCGAGCGGUAUCCGGAUUGAUUGGGUUUAAAGGGUGCGUAGGCGGACUGUUAAGUCAGCGGUAAAAGAGCGGUGCUCAACCCCGGCGAGCCGUUGAAACUGGCUGUCUUGAGAUGUCGAGAAGUAUGCGGAAUGCGCGGUGUAGCGGUGAAAUGCUUAGAUAUUGCGCAGAACUCCGAUUGCGAAGGCAGCAUACCGGCGGCCGUCUGACGCUGAGGCACGAAAGCGUGGGUAUCGAACAGGAUUAGAUACCCCUGUAGUC